GGUCGCAGAAAUCCGCCAAUAAUGUGUAACUCUUAAUCAGCGGGUCCAAGGUUCGAGUCCUUGUGCGCCCACCA
This 74-nucleotide transfer RNA is filed under the name Alphaproteobacteria bacterium HGW-Alphaproteobacteria-12. RNAcentral's name for it is "tRNA-Lys". Lineage: Bacteria; Pseudomonadati; Pseudomonadota; Alphaproteobacteria. The record is from RNAcentral.